Molecule: long non-coding RNA, 1029 nt
Organism: Magnolia sinica
Lineage: Eukaryota; Viridiplantae; Streptophyta; Magnoliopsida; Magnoliales; Magnoliaceae
Exons: 2
Source: RefSeq, a predicted model, not a curated record
ACCACUCUUAUGGUAUCUCAUCUAACACAGAAACAGAGUCAAGGGCCAUUUUGGAUAGUAUCAAGAUAUGUAAACAGUUUAACCUAUCAAAUGUAAACAUUGAAUCAGAUUCCCUAGUGGCAACAGAGGCCAUUCUUAACCAUCAUAGCAUCCCCUGGAAGAUCUGGUAUAUUGUAGGCGAUAUCAAGAAGGAGCUUGAAAGCUUAAACUUCUCCACCUCACAUGUUUAUAGAGAGAGCAAUGUAGAGGUCGAUAGCCUAGCUCAUCUAUGAAGCAGUGGUGUGGUCGACUGAACAUACACAAGGAUCAGUGAUCUCCCUAUGGAAGUUAGGGGUCUCUUACCAAUGGAUGGCGCGGGGCUGGGCUGCAUUAGAAGCAAAGGCUAAUCCAAUUGGCAGGAAGCAUGUCUGUAAGGUCUGGGAAGUGGACAAUGCCCUCAGAUUCCGAUUAUCUCUCCUACCUUGCAUCUGAAUCCAUGGCUUAGCAAUUUUGGAUGCUUCUAGGUCUGAUCCGCUAAAUUUCUCUGUUUAAUCAUUGUACUCUGCUCCUGUUAUGCUAUGCGGGUGGUUGCUGUUGCUCUGCAUAUUUGCUUCAGACGCUGUAGCUGCUCCUGGUUUUGCCUUACCGCUGUCUUGAAGACUCUGCAAUUUUGUCUGUGCCUCUGCCUGCAAUUUUUGCAAAGCCAUUAUGUUGAUUGGGAAGGAGGGCAGUAAAGUCUAUUGGAAAGUCAAUCUACCACAGAAAUUUUUCAGAGGAAAAAGAUGGGGAGUUCUCUGUUGUUGGGUGACCGGAAGUAGGGGCUUGAGCUGGGAUGAAAUCCACUUGUCACAUAUCCUUUAGAUAUCUUGUGGCUAAGGCUGGCAGUUGAAACUCGAUCCAUAACGAUGUCUGAGGGUUGCACUGAACAUGCUAAGAGAUGGCAUUGCUUCCUUUUCAGUGGGUCUUGGACCUUCUCUUCUUGUAGUUGCACUGCAACUUACAUUUCUGUAAACUUUUGCAUUUUCAACUUGUUAGCUUAGCAUUUCAAAA